UGCUUAAGUUGGAAUUGUCGCGGUGCGGGGAACACCACGACUGUUGGUGAGCUAGUUUCCCUGGUUAAAAUCAACAAUCCUAGCAUUGUUUUUCUUUGUGAAACUCGCCAGAAAAAAGAAAAAAUGCAUCGCCUGCGGAAUAGGUUGGGUCUUCGUGGUUUCGAAGGAGUUAGUAGUGAUGGCCUUAGUGGAGGUCUUGCUAUGUAUUGGCAUGAGAGUCUG
This 222-nucleotide ribosomal RNA is filed under the name Triticum aestivum (bread wheat). RNAcentral describes it as "partial small subunit ribosomal RNA". The record is from RNAcentral. Lineage: Eukaryota; Viridiplantae; Streptophyta; Magnoliopsida; Poales; Poaceae.